AUUGAACGCUGGCGGCGUGCCUAACACAUGCAAGUCGAGCGGUAACAGGUGUAGCAAUACAUGCUGACGAGCGGCGGACGGGUGAGUAACGCUUGGGAAUCUGCCUAUUAGUGGGGGACGAACCCGGACGAAACUACGGGCGUAAUACCGCAUACGCUCUACGGAGGAAAGACCGGGGACCGCAAGGCCUGGCGCUAAUAGAUGAGCCCAA
RNAcentral lists this ribosomal RNA (211 nucleotides) under uncultured bacterium. RNAcentral describes it as "partial 16S ribosomal RNA". It matches the Rfam family "Bacterial small subunit ribosomal RNA", at positions 30 to 234 of the family's 1533-position model. The record is from RNAcentral.